Molecule: ribosomal RNA, 2989 nt
Filed under: Salmonella enterica subsp. enterica serovar Kentucky
Lineage: Bacteria; Pseudomonadati; Pseudomonadota; Gammaproteobacteria; Enterobacterales; Enterobacteriaceae
Description: 23S ribosomal RNA
Rfam family: Bacterial large subunit ribosomal RNA
Source: RNAcentral
GGUUAAGCGACUAAGCGUACACGGUGGAUGCCCUGGCAGUCAGAGGCGAUGAAGGACGUGCUAAUCUGCGAUAAGCGCCGGUAAGGUGAUAUGAACCGUUAUAACCGGCGAUUUCCGAAUGGGGAAACCCAGUGUGACUCGUCACACUAUCAUUAACUGAAUCCAUAGGUUAAUGAGGCGAACCGGGGGAACUGAAACAUCUAAGUACCCCGAGGAAAAGAAAUCAACCGAGAUUCCCCCAGUAGCGGCGAGCGAACGGGGAGGAGCCCAGAGCCUGAAUCAGCAUGUGUGUUAGUGGAAGCGUCUGGAAAGGCGCGCGAUACAGGGUGACAGCCCCGUACACAAAAGCGCAUGUGCUGUGAGCUCGAUGAGUAGGGCGGGACACGUGGUAUCCUGUCUGAAUAUGGGGGGACCAUCCUCCAAGGCUAAAUACUCCUGACUGACCGAUAGUGAACCAGUACCGUGAGGGAAAGGCGAAAAGAACCCCGGCGAGGGGAGUGAAAAAGAACCUGAAACCGUGUACGUACAAGCAGUGGGAGCACAGGUUUACCUGUGUGACUGCGUACCUUUUGUAUAAUGGGUCAGCGACUUAUAUUCUGUAGCAAGGUUAACCGAAUAGGGGAGCCGGAGGGAAACCGAGUCUUAAUUGGGCGUUAAGUUGCAGGGUAUAGACCCGAAACCCGGUGAUCUAGCCAUGGGCAGGUUGAAGGUUGGGUAACACUAACUGGAGGACCGAACCGACUAAUGUUGAAAAAUUAGCGGAUGACCUGUGGCUGGGGGUGAAAGGCCAAUCAAACCGGGAGAUAGCUGGUUCUCCCCGAAAGCUAUUUAGGUAGCGCCUCGUGAAUUCAUCUCCGGGGGUAGAGCACUGUUUCGGCUAGGGGGCCAUCCCGGCUUACCAACCCGAUGCAAACUGCGAAUACCGGAGAAUGUUAUCACGGGAGACACACGGCGGGUGCUAACGUCCGUCGUGAAGAGGGAAACAACCCAGACCGCCAGCUAAGGUCCCAAAGUCAUGGUUAAGUGGGAAACGAUGUGGGAAGGCCCAGACAGCCAGGAUGUUGGCUUAGAAGCAGCCAUCAUUUAAAGAAAGCGUAAUAGCUCACUGGUCGAGUCGGCCUGCGCGGAAGAUGUAACGGGGCUAAACCAUGCACCGAAGCUGCGGCAGCGAACGUAUCACUUAAAGCGAUUCAGCGGGUUACGAUUGACGGAGCGAAGCGACGUCAAAGCGUAUACAAAGUCGAGUCGGUUUAAGGAUACGUUCGUUGGGUAGGGGAGCGUUCUGUAAGCCUGCGAAGGUGGCCUGUGAGGGUUGCUGGAGGUAUCAGAAGUGCGAAUGCUGACAUAAGUAACGAUAAAGCGGGUGAAAAGCCCGCUCGCCGGAAGACCAAGGGUUCCUGUCCAACGUUAAUCGGGGCAGGGUGAGUCGACCCCUAAGGCGAGGCCGAAAGGCGUAGUCGAUGGGAAACGGGUUAAUAUUCCCGUACUUGGUGUUACUGCGAAGGGGGGACGGAGAAGGCUAUGUUGGCCGGGCGACGGUUGUCCCGGUUUAAGCGUGUAGGUGUGUGUUCCAGGUAAAUCCGGUUCACUUUAACACUGAGGCGUGAUGACGAGGCACUACGGUGCUGAAGCAACAAAUGCCCUGCUUCCAGGAAAAGCCUCUAAGCAUCAGGUAACAUCAAAUCGUACCCCAAACCGACACAGGUGGUCAGGUAGAGAAUACCAAGGCGCUUGAGAGAACUCGGGUGAAGGAACUAGGCAAAAUGGUGCCGUAACUUCGGGAGAAGGCACGCUGACACGUAGGUGAAGUGAUUUACUCAUGGAGCUGAAGUCAGUCGAAGAUACCAGCUGGCUGCAACUGUUUAUUAAAAACACAGCACUGUGCAAACACGAAAGUGGACGUAUACGGUGUGACGCCUGCCCGGUGCCGGAAGGUUAAUUGAUGGGGUCAGCGCAAGCGAAGCUCCUGAUCGAAGCCCCGGUAAACGGCGGCCGUAACUAUAACGGUCCUAAGGUAGCGAAAUUCCUUGUCGGGUAAGUUCCGACCUGCACGAAUGGCGUAAUGAUGGCCAGGCUGUCUCCACCCGAGACUCAGUGAAAUUGAACUCGCUGUGAAGAUGCAGUGUACCCGCGGCAAGACGGAAAGACCCCGUGAACCUUUACUAUAGCUUGACACUGAACAUUGAGCCUUGAUGUGUAGGAUAGGUGGGAGGCUUUGAAGUGUGGACGCCAGUCUGCAUGGAGCCGACCUUGAAAUACCACCCUUUAAUGUUUGAUGUUCUAACGUGGACCCGUAAUCCGGGUUGCGGACAGUGUCUGGUGGGUAGUUUGACUGGGGCGGUCUCCUCCUAAAGAGUAACGGAGGAGCACGAAGGUUGGCUAAUCCUGGUCGGACAUCAGGAGGUUAGUGCAAUGGCAUAAGCCAGCUUGACUGCGAGCGUGACGGCGCGAGCAGGUGCGAAAGCAGGUCAUAGUGAUCCGGUGGUUCUGAAUGGAAGGGCCAUCGCUCAACGGAUAAAAGGUACUCCGGGGAUAACAGGCUGAUACCGCCCAAGAGUUCAUAUCGACGGCGGUGUUUGGCACCUCGAUGUCGGCUCAUCACAUCCUGGGGCUGAAGUAGGUCCCAAGGGUAUGGCUGUUCGCCAUUUAAAGUGGUACGCGAGCUGGGUUUAGAACGUCGUGAGACAGUUCGGUCCCUAUCUGCCGUGGGCGCUGGAGAACUGAGGGGGGCUGCUCCUAGUACGAGAGGACCGGAGUGGACGCAUCACUGGUGUUCGGGUUGUCAUGCCAAUGGCACUGCCCGGUAGCUAAAUGCGGAAGAGAUAAGUGCUGAAAGCAUCUAAGCACGAAACUUGCCCCGAGAUGAGUUCUCCCUGAGACUUAGAGUCUCCUGAAGGAACGUUGAAGACGACGACGUUGAUAGGCCGGGUGUGUAAGCGCAGCGAUGCGUUGAGCUAACCGGUACUAAUGAACCGUGAGGCUUAACCUU